GAAAUGCGAUAAGUAAUGUGAAUUGCAGAAUUCAGUGAAUCAUCGAAUCUUUGAACGCACAUUGCGCCCGUCAGCAUUCUGGCGGGCAUGCCUGUUCGAGCGUCAUUUCAACCCUCAGGACCCCCCUUUCGCGGGGAGGGACCUGGCGUUGGGGAUCGGCCCGCCCCCCGCGGCGGCGCCGUCCCCGAAAUCUAGUGGCGGUCUCGCUACAGCCUCCCCUGCGUAGUAGUUACAACCUCGCAUCGGAGCGCGGCGCGGCCACGCCGUAAAACCCCCGACUUUCUGAACGUUGACCUCGGAUCAGGUAGGAAUACCCGCUGAACUUAAGC
RNAcentral lists this unclassified non-coding RNA (329 nucleotides) under plant metagenome. Its description in RNAcentral is "partial contains 5.8S ribosomal RNA, internal transcribed spacer 2, and large subunit ribosomal RNA". The stretch from base 1 to 105 matches the Rfam family "5.8S ribosomal RNA", at positions 50 to 154 of the family's 154-position model. The record is from RNAcentral.